RNAcentral lists this non-coding RNA (178 nucleotides) under Anoxybacillus flavithermus. Its description in RNAcentral is "Lysine sequence". It matches the Rfam family "Lysine riboswitch aptamer". Rfam says of the family: Riboswitches are metabolite binding domains within certain messenger RNAs that serve as precision sensors for their corresponding targets. Allosteric rearrangement of mRNA structure is mediated by ligand binding, and this results in modulation of gene expression. This family includes riboswitches that sense lysine in a number of genes involved in lysine metabolism, including lysC. The record is from RNAcentral. Lineage: Bacteria; Bacillati; Bacillota; Bacilli; Caryophanales; Anoxybacillaceae.
AGAUGAGAUAGAGGUCGCGGCAAAUAAUAGUAGUUUCAUGGAGACGCAGAGACGUCGCUGAAGUGAGAUGAAGGAUUUGUCGCCGAAGUUUAUAGCGUGCUCUGGCGCUAUAAGCUGGGCCUGUUGCCGAAUAGGUGCAGGACUGUCAUCGCACAUGCGGUGGAGAGCUAUCGAUCUU